RNAcentral lists this ribosomal RNA (267 nucleotides) under uncultured bacterium. Its description in RNAcentral is "partial 16S ribosomal RNA". It matches the Rfam family "Bacterial small subunit ribosomal RNA", at positions 793 to 1055 of the family's 1533-position model. The record is from RNAcentral.
GUCCACACGGUAAACGAUGGGCACUAGGUGUUGGAGGGCUCGACCCCUUCAGUGCCGCAGCUAACGCAUUAAGUGCCCCGCCUGGGGAGUACGGCCGCAAGGUUGAAACUCAAAGGAAUUGACGGGGGCCCGCACAAGCGGUGGAGCAUGUGGUUUAAUUCGAUGCAACGCGAAGAACCUUACCUGGGCUUGACAUGCUGGUUACCAACCUGAAAGGGAAGGGACCCUCGCAAGAGGGAGCCAGCACAGGUGCUGCAUGGCUGUCGU